AUUGAACGCUGGCGGCAGGCCUAACACAUGCAAGUCGAGCGGAGCGGCAGACGGGUGAGUAUUGCCUAGGACUCUGCCUGGUCGUGGGGGAUAACGUCCGGUAACGGGCGCUAAUACUGCAUACUCUCAGAUGAGCCUAGGUCGGAUUAGCUAGUUGGGGUGGUAAAGGCCGACCAAGGCGACGAUCCGUAACUGGUCUGAGGGGAUGAUCAGUCACACGGGAACUGAGACACGGGCCAGACUCCUAAGGGAGGAAGCAGUGGGGAAUAUUGGACAAUGGGCGAAAGCCUGAUACAGCAAUGCCGCGUGUGUGAAGAAGGGCUUAGGAUUGUAAAGCACUUUAAGUUGGGAGGCGUUACCAACAGAAUAAGCACCGGCUAAAUUCGUGCCAGCAGCCGCGGUAAUAC
Molecule: ribosomal RNA, 407 nt
Filed under: uncultured bacterium
Lineage: Bacteria
Description: partial 16S ribosomal RNA
Rfam family: Bacterial small subunit ribosomal RNA
Source: RNAcentral